GGAGCGACGACAGUGGACUUUUGCAGGAAACAUCAGUUUAAGUUUGAAGAAGUCCGUGAAUUCCAUGAGUCUGGUUUUCCAUAGAGAUGCUGACAGACUGAAGAAUGUGCCUUGAUGGACAGGUGACUCUGCACGAGUGAGCAACUUCCAGCAAAGGCCACAGUGAAUUAGCUACCACCAGAUGGUUGGACAAAGCAAGGAAGGCCAAAGAAAACACGACACCAAACAUUUCAGGAUGAUCCGAAAAACAUCCAUCUUAAAAAAGAUAACUGUAGCUACAGAUUGACAACUGUGUAGCAGGCUGGUAGCAAACUAACACCAAUGCCUGUGAGAUCUGCGAUGGCUAAGACCAGGCUAAGACCAAGCUACAACAUCACAACAACAAAAUUAGGGCCUGAAGGUUGAGUCCACAUUUGGAAAAUCUUAGAACAGAUGGUUGGCAACUAGCAAGGCUGUUGGAGCACCGGAGGCCAAGGACCAGCACCCACAAAAGUGGGUUCCAAAACAGAACACUUGGUGGCUCUUGGAAAAUAUCUAAGAUUCCUCUGGAGAAGGAAACUAGGUUUCUGCUUUUCUGAUUUCACAAAACAGAUAAAUACCGGAGCAAAAAAAAAAAUGAUGAAUGGCACCUUGCCUUUCUGACAGAAGUGAGAGAGCUACUCGGCAGUUUGAAUGUGCAACUUCAAGGAAAGGGGAAGCUCAUCUGAGACAUGCUUUCACGUGUGAAGGCAUUUGAGGUAACAUUGGACCUCCUCAUUAAACAAGUGAAGGCCAUCUCCCAACUACUCAAAAGCCGUUGGCUGAAAAAAACCAACAUUUGCAUUCCCAAACAAAAAGUGUGCGGAUUCACUGGAAAUGUUGCAAGGGGAGUUUUUCAGAUUUAAAGACCUUUGUGCUCAUGAACAGGACAUUCUGCUUUUGCAUAACCCAUUUUCUCUUGACGUCAAAAUUGUUGAUCCAAUUUGCCAGAUGGAACUGGCUGAACUAUAGAAUUGUGACUCUCUGAAAGACACAUUCAAGUCAAGCAGCCUUACUGAUGUCUAUGCAUCCGUCCCCUUCUAAAACAGACGUUUAGUUCAAGGAACCAGGCACUCAAAACGGUAACCAUCUUUGGCAACACCCGUCGUCUGUGAACAGACUUUUUCCAGAAUGAAACUGAAAUCUCCAACCAGAUCCAGACUGAUGAACAUUGGCAUCACUUGUUACGACUGGCAGAGACAAGUACGAAACAGGACAUUGACUUUCUCAUCGACUAAAACCAGGCCCCCACUUCCCAUUGAAUUAGUAGUAUAUUUACGUUGGUUAAAAUUGUUCAUUUUAAAUAUUGUAUUAUUUCAUGUUUUUUUGCGCUACAAAUAAAAGUAUGUGCAGUAUUCA
This is a long non-coding RNA of Thamnophis elegans (Western terrestrial garter snake), 1377 nucleotides long. RefSeq lists it as uncharacterized. Lineage: Eukaryota; Metazoa; Chordata; Lepidosauria; Squamata; Natricidae. The record is from RefSeq and is a predicted model, not a curated record. The transcript is spliced from 3 exons.